CCUACGGGGAGGCAGCAGCUAAGAAUCUUCCGCAAUGGGCGCAAGCCUGACGGAGCGACGCCGCGUGAACGAUGAAGGCCGUGAGGUUGUAAAGUUCUUUUCGGGAGGGGGAAUGAGCCUGCCAGGCAAUGGGCGGGCGAUGACGUGAAUCCCGGAAUAAGCCCCGGCUAACUACGUGCCAGCAGCCGCGGUAACACGUAGGGGGCGAGCGUUGUUCGGAAUCAUUGGGCGUAAAGGGCGUGCAGGCGGCCGCCAAAGUCCGGCGUGAAAGACCCAGGCUCAACCUGGGGGGUGCGCCGGAUACUGGGCGGCUUGAGUACAGGAGGGGAUGGCGGAAUUCCAGGUGUAGGGGUGAAAUCUGUAGAUAUCUGGAGGAACACCGAUGGCGAAGGCAGCCGUCUGGCCAUGUACUGACGCUGAGGCGCGAAGGUGCGGGGAGCAAACAGGUUUAGAUACCCUGGUAGUCCGCACAGUAAACGAUGUGCACCAGGCGGCGGGGGCAACCUCGCUGCCGCAGUCAACGCAUUAA
This 529-nucleotide ribosomal RNA is filed under the name uncultured bacterium. Its description in RNAcentral is "bacterial SSU rRNA". It matches the Rfam family "Bacterial small subunit ribosomal RNA", at positions 338 to 863 of the family's 1533-position model. The record is from RNAcentral.